UUGAUCCCNGGCUCAGAUGAACGCUAGCUACAGGCUUAACACAUGCAAGUCGAGGGGCAGCAUGGUCUUAGCUUGCUAAGGCCGAUGGCGACCGGCGCACGGGUGAGUAACACGUAUCCAACCUGCCGUCUACUCUUGGACAGCCUUCUGAAAGGAAGAUUAAUACAAGAUGGCAUCAUGAGUCCGCAUGUUCACAUGAUUAAAGGUAUUCCGGUAGACGAUGGGGAUGCGUUCCAUUAGAUAGUAGGCGGGGUAACGGCCCACCUAGUCUUCGAUGGAUAGGGGUUCUGAGAGGAAGGUCCCCCACAUUGGAACUGAGACACGGUCCAAACUCCUACGGGAGGCAGCAGUGAGGAAUAUUGGUCAAUGGGCGAGAGCCUGAACCAGCCAAGUAGCGUGAAGGAUGACUGCCCUAUGGGUUGUAAACUUCUUUUAUAAAGGAAUAAAGUCGGGUAUGGAUACCCGUUUGCAUGUACUUUAUGAAUAAGGAUCGGCUAACUCCGUGCCAGCAGCCGCGGUAAUACGGAGGAUCCGAGCGUUAUCCGGAUUUAUUGGGUUUAAAGGGAGCGUAGAUGGAUGUUUAAGUCAGUUGUGAAAGUUUGCGGCUCAACCGUAAAAUUGCAGUUGAUACUGGAUAUCUUGAGUGCAGUUGAGGCAGGCGGAAUUCGUGGUGUAGCGGUGAAAUGCUUAGAUAUCACGAAGAACUCCGAUUGCGAAGGCAGCCUGCUAAGCUGCAACUGACAUUGAGGCUCGAAAAGUGUGG
RNAcentral lists this ribosomal RNA (763 nucleotides) under Bacteroides sp. ES-20. RNAcentral describes it as "bacterial SSU rRNA". It matches the Rfam family "Bacterial small subunit ribosomal RNA", at positions 13 to 764 of the family's 1533-position model. The record is from RNAcentral. Lineage: Bacteria; Pseudomonadati; Bacteroidota; Bacteroidia; Bacteroidales; Bacteroidaceae.